UUCGUAGGCGGGAUAUUAAGUCAGUGGUUAAAUCCUACAGCUUAACUGUAGAACUGCCAUUGAUACUGAUAUUCUUGAAUUCACCUGAAGUAGGCGGAACAUGACAUGUAGCGGUGAAAUGCUUAGAUAUGUCAUAGAACACCGAUUGCGAAGGCAGCUUACUAAAGUGAUAUUGACGCUAAGGAACGAAAGCGUGGGGAGCGAACAGGAUUAGAUACCCUGGUAGUCC
Molecule: ribosomal RNA, 229 nt
Filed under: uncultured bacterium
Lineage: Bacteria
Description: partial 16S ribosomal RNA
Rfam family: Bacterial small subunit ribosomal RNA
Source: RNAcentral